RNAcentral lists this ribosomal RNA (499 nucleotides) under uncultured bacterium. RNAcentral's name for it is "bacterial SSU rRNA". It matches the Rfam family "Bacterial small subunit ribosomal RNA", at positions 28 to 507 of the family's 1533-position model. The record is from RNAcentral.
GAUGAACGCUAGCGGCAGGCUUAAUACAUGCAAGUCGAGGGGCAUCAAGGUACACGAAAGUGUAUUGUUGGCGACCGGCGGACGGGUGAGUAAUAGGUAGGUAACCUACCUCAUACUGAGGCAUAGCUGGGAGAAAUUCCAGGUAAUUCCUCAUGAGGUUAUAUGACACAUGUGAUAUAAUCAAAGGUAUCGCAAGGUACUGGUAUGAGAUGGGCUUACUGACCAUUAGCUAGUUGGUGAGAUAAGAGCUCACCAAGGCGAAGAUGGUUAGGGGUUUUGAGAGAGAGAUCCCCCACAUUGGAACUGAGAUACGGUCCAGACUCCUACGGGAGGCAGCAGUAGGGAAUAUUGGGCAAUGGGCGGAAGCCUGACCCAGCCAUGCCGCGUGCAGGAAGAAGGCCUUCGGGUUGUAAACUGCUUUUGUACGGAACGAAACGGUCCUUUUUAAUACAGGGGGCUAAUGACGGUACCGUAAGAAUAAGCACCGGCUAACUACGUG